RNAcentral lists this unclassified non-coding RNA (1091 nucleotides) under uncultured fungus. RNAcentral's name for it is "sequence contains 18S rRNA gene, ITS1, 5.8S rRNA gene, ITS2, 28S rRNA gene". Lineage: Eukaryota; Fungi. The record is from RNAcentral.
GACGUGACGGUCGAGAGCAACACGGAGAGGAUGAGCCAAAGCAACGAGUUCACGAAGACGACAACCUUCAGGAACCACGGUGCGAAACCGGGAGGAGCCGGAGGCGCCUCGAACAAAGCCGAGACGAUCAAGAGCGGGAUCGCCGCCAUCGACGACAGCCAAAACGUGCGCCGAGCCGUCGACGGGAUCAGCACCGCUCGCGCCGUCAUCGUGACGGCCAGCGCGAAAAGCCCCGCCAUCAGUUGCGCCUGAUCCGGUACCGUGGCCAUCAGCGCAAGGAAGAGUCCGGCGAAGAACAAGCUCAGGCCGUCGAGCAUUCCGAGCAGGCGGAGCGGCAAGGGUCGACCGCUCGUGAUGGCCCAGAGGCCAGCCAUCACGGAUGACGCCAAGAAGUGGAAGAGAUUGCCGCGGUGAGCGCAUGACGGAAGGGCCGCGAAACCGCCGCCCACGAGAAACGUCGCGUUGAUCAGGACGAAGAAGCCGAACGACAGCAGGAAUACCGUCUUCCCGAGCAACGCGAGCCGGCCCUGCACGAACGGCGAGCCGGCGCCGAAGUCGAUUCCGGCGCAAACGAACUUUCCGGGACCCGACGAGGAUCUCCGCUCGGCCAUGGGGCCCAUCAUAGCGGCGAUUGGAGACGCGCGGACCAACACGGCUAAAUAGUGCUUACGCCCGUCGCUGGCGCCGCGUUUCUCCCCACGGGUUCUCGCGCGUGGAUCGCAGUCGUUCCGGGCCACUGCUACAAGACGCCAUGCCAGAUUCCGUGGUUCGAGUGCUCGUUCUCGCCGCGCUGUCGUUGCCGCUCGCCACCGCCUGCUCGCGUGCUGCGACCGGCACGAGCAGCACCACCAUGAGCCCCACCGCUUCCGGGACGCCCUCGACCGCACCGGAGAAGCUCGCGCUCACGCCACCCAUGGGAUUCAACAAUUGGAAUGCCUUCGGCUGCGACGUGAACGAAAAGCUCAUCAAAGAGACGGCUGAUUUUUUCGUUUCGUCCGGCUUGAAGGACGCCGGCUACCUCUACGUCAACAUCGACGACUGCUGGUCGCUUCGCGAGCGCGGCCCCGACGGCCGGCUCGUGCCCGAUCCGG